GCUACUAUUAGGACAAAGUGAAUUAAAGGCUUUGGAUGAUGUUACUUUCGCAGCAAAGUAAGGGAAGAAGAGAAGUCAUGAAAUCAACACGAAGAACUUCAGUGACCUGGUGGCAGAGGCUAAUAAAAAGAGGAAGCGCAAGAUGUAGGAAAAAGGAAGGGAAGGCAAAGAAGGAUUUCAAGUUUUAAACACAAAGUUAUACAUCAAAUUCGCAUAGCAUGAAUGCUACCCCUCGCCCAUUGGAUAUAUUCUGUUUGGUGAAUAUAUUGUGAACUAUGUUAUUCAAAGGAUCUGACACAUUGAAAGUUCUUAUUGACAUGUAAAAUGUGAAGUUCUUUGGUCGAUCUUGGGCCAUCUUGGUUCGAUUAAUGAAUGGACAGGGCAGCUAGUUGCACUAUUGAGGUAGGAGUGAUGUUUAAAGGGAAUUUGUUUAGUGAAUCCAUUUUGAGAUCAUCGAUGAAUCUUAACUGUGCAUGAACUUGGUGGAAAGUUAGAAGUGGUUUUAUUUUCUUUAGGGAAGCCAUGACCUAUAAAGCAUGAAUUUCUCAA
This is a non-coding RNA of Amborella trichopoda, 549 nucleotides long. The record is from RefSeq and is a predicted model, not a curated record. Lineage: Eukaryota; Viridiplantae; Streptophyta; Magnoliopsida; Amborellales; Amborellaceae.